Molecule: ribosomal RNA, 370 nt
Filed under: marine sediment bacterium BB0608_AND_8.2_4G0
Lineage: Bacteria
Description: bacterial SSU rRNA
Rfam family: Bacterial small subunit ribosomal RNA
Source: RNAcentral
GUAACGCGUGGGGACCUACCUCUUAGUGGGGGAUAACGGUUGGAAACGACCGCUAAUACCGCAUACGCCCUUCGGGGGAAAGAUUUAUCGCUAAGAGAUGGACCCGCGUUGGAUUAGAUAGUUGGUGAGGUAACGGCUCACCAAGUCAGCGAUCCAUAGCUGGUUUGAGAGGAUGAUCAGCCACACUGGGACUGAGACACGGCCCAGACUCCUACGGGAGGCAGCAGUGGGGAAUAUUGGACAAUGGGGGCAACCCUGAUCCAGCCAUGCCGCGUGAGUGAAGAAGGCCUUCGGGUUGUAAAGCUCUUUCAGAUGCGAAGAUGAUGACGGUAACAUCAGAAGAAGCCCCGGCUAAUUUCGUGCCAGCAGC